This 500-nucleotide ribosomal RNA is filed under the name uncultured Glomeromycotina. Its description in RNAcentral is "partial small subunit ribosomal RNA". It matches the Rfam family "Eukaryotic small subunit ribosomal RNA", at positions 591 to 1092 of the family's 1831-position model. The record is from RNAcentral. Lineage: Eukaryota; Fungi; Glomeromycota.
CCAAUAGCGUAUAUUAAAGUUGUUGCAGUUAAAAAGCUCGUAGUUGAAUUUCGGGAUCAGCGCGUCGGUCGUGCCUCCGGUAUGCACUGGCGCCGCUGGUUUCUCCCUUCUGAGGAACCGUGAUGUCAUUAAUUUGGUGUUGCGGGAAAUCAGGACUGUUACUUUGAAAAAAUUAGAGUGUUUAAAGCGGGCACGCGCUUGAAUACAUUAGCAUGGAAUAACGAAAUAGGACGUUCGAUCUUAUUUUGUUGGUUUCUAGGAUUGACGUAAUGAUUAAUAGGGAUAGUUGGGGGCAUUAGUAUUCAAUUGUCAGAGGUGAAAUUCUUGGAUUUAUUGAAGACUAACUACUGCGAAGGCAUUUGCCAAGGAUGUUUUCAUUAAUCAAGAACGAAAGUUAGGGGAUCGAAGACGAUCAGAUACCGUCGUAGUCUUAACCAUAAACUAUGCCGACUAGGGAUCGGAUGAUGUUAAUUUUAUAAUGACUCAUUCGGCGCCUUACG